Ictidomys tridecemlineatus (thirteen-lined ground squirrel) is the source of this 69-nucleotide non-coding RNA. The record is from Rfam. NCBI's taxonomy places the organism in Eukaryota, Metazoa, Chordata, Mammalia, Rodentia, Sciuridae.
GGGGUUGUAGCUCAGAGGUAGAACACUUGCCUAGCAUGCAUGAGGCACUGGGUUCGAUUCUCAGCACCA